UCUCCUCUCAGCUCUCGCACCACCGUGACCCAGAAACCCUGAACCCGCCGAUCUCGUCUCUCAAUCCUUGUAUAUAUAUCUUUAGCGUGACGACACGCCAAUCCACGCCAAACACCGUAAUCGUCUCUCUCUCUGCGCCCGCUCUCUAUUGCGCCUAUCACCUCCUCGCAAUUUCUUGCUCCACGACUGAAAAACCUAGAACCCUAGAUACUCCUUUCAUCAACAACUCAAAUUCAAGGUUUAAACAAUUCAAUUUUAUCAUUCUUUUUGACAAUGGUUUUGAAUUUGCAAGUAAUUACUUCCAGAAUUAGUAAGCUAUCAGCCCUUCAGCUCCCCAUCCAUCCUCUGAGGCCUCUAAUUCGGAUGGAAUUUUAUUUCUGGACUUCUUUGGUUUUUCUUGGUAAUUUAAGGUAACUGAGCAUUGCAGGUGCAGAACUAUACAUUAUCUUAGAUAACAAUGGAUGAGAUUUUCUACAAUGCUUGAAGAAAAGAGAUUUAAACUUUUGCAGCUAUAAAUGUGUAAUGCGUUCUUCUCUCAGGUAUCUUUCACAGAAGUAAACUGAACAAUGCAACUGCAGCUGUAUAGCUUGAAAUGAUUCGGGGACUGGCAUCAUGGGUUUUGUGCGUUGUGGCAACAAGUUUGUAUUAGUCAAUUGAGUUGGGAGAACUGGCAACAAGUUUUUGUUAUGUUAUUAGUUUUGAAGUUACAAUUCGAGUGUAUUAGUUUGUAGGAUUUUUAUAUUAGACAUCAUGUAAAUGUAAAAUUUACCUCCAUUUGAAUUAUA
This 785-nucleotide small RNA is filed under the name Malus domestica (apple). Its description in RNAcentral is "sRNA MD17G0202500". The record is from RNAcentral. Lineage: Eukaryota; Viridiplantae; Streptophyta; Magnoliopsida; Rosales; Rosaceae.